AUGUUCCCAGGAAGUACCAGUCAUUUACAAUUCAACCAAAAGUGGUGGGAAUUAAAUGUUACAAUUGACCCACAACAGAUAUGUGUAUUUAUUUUACCACAGUACCCUCUGAUAUGUGUAUUUAUACUACCACAGUACCCUCUGAUAUGUGUAUUUAUACUACCACAGUACCCUCUGAUAUGUGUAUUUAUACUACCACAGUACCCUCUGAUAUGUGUAUUUAUACUACCACAGUACCCUCUGAUAUGUGUAUUUAUACUACCACAGUACCCUCUGAUAUGUGUAUUUAUUUUACCACAGUACCCUCUGAUAUGUGUAUUUAUACUACCACAGUACCCUCUGAUAUGUGUAUUUAUACUACCACAGUACCCUCUGAUAUGUGUAUUUAUACUACCACAGUACCCUCUGAUAUGUGUAUUUAUACUACCACAGUACCCUCUGAUAUGUGUAUUUAUACUACCACAGUACCCUCUGAUAUGUGUAUUUAUACUACCACAGUACCCUCUGAUAUGUGUAUUUAUACUACCACAGUACCCUCUGAUAUGUGUAUUUAUACUACCACAGUACCCUCUGAUAUGUGUAUUUAUUUUACCACAGUACCCUCUGAUAUGUGUAUAUAUACUACCACAGUACCCUCUGAUGUGUAUUUAUACUACCACAGUACCCUCUGAUAUGUGUAUUUAUACUACCACAGUACCCUCUGAUGUGUAUUUAUACUACCACAGUACCCAACCCUCUGAUAUGUGUAUUUAUACUACCACAGUAGCCUCUGAUAUGUGUAUUUAUACUACCACAGUACCCUCUGAUAUGUGUAUUUAUAAUACCACAGUACCCUCUGAUAUGUGUAUUUAUACUACCACAGUACCCUCUGAUAUGUGUAUUUAUA
Molecule: long non-coding RNA, 886 nt
Filed under: Oncorhynchus mykiss (rainbow trout)
Lineage: Eukaryota; Metazoa; Chordata; Actinopteri; Salmoniformes; Salmonidae
Description: lncRNA (ENSOMYG00000048571.1)
Source: RNAcentral